UACGGAGGGGGCUAGCGUUAUUCGGAAUUAUUGGGCGUAAAGGGCGUGUAGGCGGCUUUGUGUGUCCCAUGUGAAAGCCCUCGGCUCAACCGGGGAACUGCAUGGGAAACUGCGGAGCUUGAGUCCGGGAGAGGAUAGUGGAAUUCCCAGUGUAGCGGUGAAAUGCGUAGAUAUUGGGAGGAACACCUGCGGUGUAGACGGCUUACUGGACCGUAACUGACGCUGAGGCACGAAAGCGUGGGGAGCAAACAGG
This 253-nucleotide ribosomal RNA is filed under the name uncultured bacterium. Its description in RNAcentral is "partial 16S ribosomal RNA". It matches the Rfam family "Bacterial small subunit ribosomal RNA", at positions 524 to 776 of the family's 1533-position model. The record is from RNAcentral.